UUGUGGAGGAGGACGCCGAAGGUGGGGUUAAUGACUGGGGUGAAGUCGUAACAAGGUAGCCGUACCGGAAGGUGCGGCUGGAUCACCUCCUAACAGGGAGACAACAAAAUGUUAAAUAUUAAUUUUGUCACCUUAGGUCGAUCGGUAUCUCACAUUCUUAAUUCAUUAAGGAUUUUAUUUCCUAAGUUUUUUCUAGGUCACACCCAUUACUUUUCCUGGGCCAUUAGCUCAGGUGGUUAAAGCGCACCCCUGAUAAGGGUGAGGUCCCUGGUUCAAGUCCAGGAUGGCCCAUAUCUCUAUGUUGGGGGUAUAGCUCAGUUGGUAGAGCGCCUGCUUUGCAAGCAGGAUGUCAGCGGUUCGAGUCCGCUUACCUCCACUGAUUACCACCUCAUACGUAAUCUGUAGAAAGGAAAAUUAUUGAGUUGUGACUGCCAUUCUGAACGAAUCUAGCUUCCUAAUAAAACUAUUAAGAUGCUGGACUCAUUGAAUUAAUUUCAUUGUCUUCAGAGAACCUUGACAACUGCAUAGAUUAUUUUUAAAGACAAUAAGCAUCUUUAAUGAUGCAGAUUUAUUAUUUGUGCAAAUGCAUUAAUAACAAUUCUAUUAAGCUGAUGCUUCAAUUAUGAAGUUAUUGGUCAAGCUACAA
This 646-nucleotide unclassified non-coding RNA is filed under the name uncultured Prochlorococcus sp. Its description in RNAcentral is "partial 16S-23S ribosomal RNA intergenic spacer; may also contain 16S ribosomal RNA and 23S ribosomal RNA". The stretch from base 304 to 376 matches the Rfam family "tRNA". Lineage: Bacteria; Bacillati; Cyanobacteriota; Cyanophyceae; Synechococcales; Prochlorococcaceae. The record is from RNAcentral.